RNAcentral lists this ribosomal RNA (467 nucleotides) under uncultured bacterium. RNAcentral's name for it is "partial 16S ribosomal RNA". It matches the Rfam family "Bacterial small subunit ribosomal RNA", at positions 29 to 507 of the family's 1533-position model. The record is from RNAcentral.
ACGAACGCUGGCGGCGUGCUUAACCCAUGCAAGUCGAACGGAAAGGCCCUGCUUUUGUGGGGUGCUCGAGUGGCGAACGGGUGAGUAACGCGUGAGUAACCUGCCCUUGACUUUGGGAUAACUUCAGGAAACUGGGGCUAAUACCGGAUAGGAGCUCCUGCUGCAUGGUGGGGGUUGGAAAGUUUCGGCGGUUGGGGAUGGACUCGCGGCUUAUCAGCUUGUUGGUGGGGUAGUGGCUUACCAAGGCUUUGACGGGUAGCCGGCCUGAGAGGGUGACCGGCCACAUUGGGACUGAGAUACGGCCCAGACUCCUACGGGAGGCAGCAGUGGGGAAUAUUGCACAAUGGGCGGAAGCCUGAUGCAGCAACGCCGCGUGCGGGAUGACGGCCUUCGGGUUGUAAACCGCUUUCGCCUGUGACGAAGCGUGAGUGACGGUAAUGGGUAAAGAAGCACCGGCUAACUACGUG